This 444-nucleotide ribosomal RNA is filed under the name uncultured bacterium. RNAcentral's name for it is "partial 16S ribosomal RNA". It matches the Rfam family "Bacterial small subunit ribosomal RNA", at positions 354 to 796 of the family's 1533-position model. The record is from RNAcentral.
GUAGGGAAUAUUGGGCAAUGGUCGGAAGACUGACCCAGCCAUGCAGCGUGCAGGAAGACGGCCCUCUGGGUUGUAAACUGCUUUUAUCUGGGAAGAAAAAGGCCAUGCGUGGCAAAUUGCCGGUACCAGAUGAAUAAGCACCGGCUAACUCCGUGCCAGCAGCCGCGGUAAUACGGAGGGUGCGAGCGUUGUCCGGAUUUAUUGGGUUUAAAGGGUGCGUAGGCGGCUGAUUAAGUCAGCGGUGAAAGACUUCGGCUUAACCGGAGCAGUGCCGUUGAUACUGGUUGGCUUGAGUGUCGGAGGGGUACAUGGAAUUGAUGGUGUAGCGGUGAAAUGCAUAGAUACCAUCAGGAACACCGAUAGCGAAGGCAUUGUACUGGCCGACAACUGACGCUGAUGCACGAAAGUGUGGGGAUCGAACAGGAUUAGAUACCCCGGUAGUCC